GAUGAACGCUAGCUACAGGCUUAACACAUGCAAGUCGAGGGGUAGCAGGAUCUAGCAAUAGAUUGCUGACGACCGGCGCACGGGUGAGUAACACGUAUCCAAUCUACCUUUUACUCGGGGAUAGCCUUUCGAAAGAAAGAUUAAUACCCGAUGGCAUGUAAUAAUCGCAUGAUUAUUACAUUAAAGAAUUUCGGUAAAAGAUGAGGAUGCGUUCCAUUAGAUUGUUGGUAAGGUAACGGCUUACCAAGUCUUCGAUGGAUAGGGGUUCUGAGAGGAAGGUCCCCCACACUGGAACUGAGACACGGUCCAGACUCCUACGGGAGGCAGCAGUGAGGAAUAUUGGUCAAUGGGCGCAAGCCUGAACCAGCCAAGUAGCGUGAAGGAUGACUGCCCUAUGGGUUGUAAACUUCUUUUAUAAAGGAAUAGUAGUAAAUACGUGUAUUUAUUUGAAUGUACUUUAUGAAUAAGCAUCGGCUAACUCCGUGCCAGCCGCCGCGGAAAC
This 502-nucleotide ribosomal RNA is filed under the name uncultured bacterium. Its description in RNAcentral is "bacterial SSU rRNA". It matches the Rfam family "Bacterial small subunit ribosomal RNA", at positions 28 to 524 of the family's 1533-position model. The record is from RNAcentral.